This 581-nucleotide ribosomal RNA is filed under the name uncultured bacterium. RNAcentral's name for it is "bacterial SSU rRNA". It matches the Rfam family "Bacterial small subunit ribosomal RNA", at positions 32 to 645 of the family's 1533-position model. The record is from RNAcentral.
AACCUGGCGGCGUGCCUAACACAUGCAAGUCGAACGCCCUUGNAGCAAUCAAGGGAGUGGCGGACGGGUGAGGAACACGUGGGUUAUCUACCUUGAGGUGAGGAAUACCGGCGAGAAAUCGCCGACAAUACCGCAUACGUUUGGAAACAAACAAAGCUGAGUCAUCGGCGCCACAAGAUGAGCCUGCGCCCGAUUAGCCAGGUUGGUGGGGUAAUGGCCUACCAAGGCGACAAUCGGUAGCUGGUCUGAGAGGACGAUCAGCCACACUGGGAUUGAGAACGGCCCAGACUCCUACGGGGGGCAGCAGUGAGGAAUUUUCGUCAAUGGGGGAAACCCUGAACGAGCAACGCCGCGUGCAGGAAGAAGGUUUUCGGAUCGUAAACUGCUUUUCUUGGGGAAGAGAACGGACGGUACCCAAGGAAUAAGCCCCGGCUAACUACGUGCCAGCAGCCGCGGUAAUACGUAGGGGGCAAGCGUUGUCCGGAUUUAUUGGGCGUAAAGCGCACGCAGGCGGUCUGUUAAGUUUCGAGUGACAGGUCAGGGCUUAACCCUGGCAGGCCUUGGAAAACUGGCAGACUUUA